This 345-nucleotide unclassified non-coding RNA is filed under the name soil metagenome. Its description in RNAcentral is "partial contains 5.8S ribosomal RNA, internal transcribed spacer 2, and large subunit ribosomal RNA". The stretch from base 1 to 119 matches the Rfam family "5.8S ribosomal RNA", at positions 35 to 154 of the family's 154-position model. The record is from RNAcentral.
GAUGAAGAACGUAGCGAAAUGCGAUACGUAAUGUGAAUUGCAAAUUCAGUGAAUCAUCGAGUCUUUGAACGCACAUUGCGCCCCCUGGUAUUCCGGGGGGCAUGCCUGUCCGAGCGUCAUUGCUGCCCUCAAGCACGGCUUGUGUGUUGGGCCCCGUCCUCCGAUCCCGGGGGACGGGCCCGAAAGGCAGCGGCGGCACCGCGUCCGGUCCUCGAGCGUAUGGGGCUUUGUCACCCGCUCUGUAGGCCCGGCCGGCGCUUGCCGAUCAACCCAAAUUUUUAUCCAGGUUGACCUCGGAUCAGGUAGGGAUACCCGCUGAACUUAAGCAUAUCAAUAAGUGGAGGA